UUUAAGUCAGUUGUGAAAGUUUGCGGCUCAACCGUAAAAUUGCAGUUGAUACUGGAUAUCUUGAGUGCAGUUGAGGCAGGCGGAAUUCGUGGUGUAGCGGUGAAAUGCUUAGAUAUCACGAAGAACUCCGAUUGCGAAGGCAGCCUGCUAAGCUGCAACUGACAUUGAGGCUCGAAAGUGUGGGUAUCAAACAGGAUUAGAUACCCUGGUAGUCCACACGGUAAACGAUGAAUACUCGCUGUUUGCGAUAUACUGCAAGCGGCCAAGCGAAAGCGUUAAGUAUUCCACCUGGGGAGUACGCCGGCAACGGUGAAACUCAAAGGAAUUGACGGGGGCCCGCACAAGCGGAGGAACAUGUGGUUUAAUUCGAUGAUACGCGAGGAACCUUACCCGGGCUUAAAUUGCAGAUGAAUUACGGUGAAAGCCGUAAGCCGCAAGGCAUCUGUGAAGGUGCUGCAUGGUUGUCGUCAGCUCGUGCCGUGAGGUGUCGGCUUAAGUGCCAUAACGAGCGCAACCCUUGUUGUCAGUUACUAACAGGUUCCGCUGAGGACUCUGACAAGACUGCCAUCGUAAGAUGUGAGGAAGGUGGGGAUGACGUCAAAUCAGCACGGCCCUUACGUCCGGGGCUACACACGUGUUACAAUGGGGGGUACAGAGGGCCGCUACCACGCGAGUGGAUGCCAAUCCCCAAAACCUCUCUCAGUUCGGACUGGAGUCUGCAACCCGACUCCACGAAGCUGGAUUCGCUAGUAAUCGCGCAUCAGCCACGGCGCGGUGAAUACGUUCCCGGGCCUUGUACACACCGCCCGUCAAGCCAUGGGAGCCGGGGGUACCUGAAGUGCGUAAACGCGAGGAGCGCCCUAGGGUAAAACUGGUGACUGGC
This 883-nucleotide ribosomal RNA is filed under the name uncultured organism. RNAcentral describes it as "SSU rRNA". It matches the Rfam family "Bacterial small subunit ribosomal RNA", at positions 582 to 1479 of the family's 1533-position model. The record is from RNAcentral.